AUGGCUGUCGUCAGCUCGUGUCGUGAGAUGUUGGGUUAAGUCCCGCAACGAGCGCAACCCUUGUCUUUAGUUGCCAUCAUUCAGUUGGGCACUCUAAAGAGACUGCCGGUGUCAAACCGGAGGAAGGUGGGGAUGACGUCAAGUCCUCAUGGCCUUUAUGACCAGGGCUACACACGUACUACAAUGGCCGGUGCAAAGGGCAGCCACUUAGCGAUAAGGAGCCAAUCCCGUAAAGCCGGUCUCAGUCCGGAUUGGAGUCUGCAACUCGACUCCAUGAAGUUGGAAUCGCUAGUAAUCGCAGAUCAGCACGCUGCGGUGAAUACGUUCCCGGGCCUU
This 336-nucleotide ribosomal RNA is filed under the name uncultured Desulfocapsa sp. Its description in RNAcentral is "bacterial SSU rRNA". It matches the Rfam family "Bacterial small subunit ribosomal RNA", at positions 1045 to 1382 of the family's 1533-position model. Lineage: Bacteria; Pseudomonadati; Thermodesulfobacteriota; Desulfobulbia; Desulfobulbales; Desulfocapsaceae. The record is from RNAcentral.